AUGGAGGGGCUCGACGUCGACGACGUCUUCCACCACUACCGGCUGAGCCCUACGGAAGUGGAGGCCGUCACCUACUACCUGCCACGCCUCCUCUCCGGCGAGACGCUGCAUGCCGUCGACAAGCUCAUCCACCACGUCGACAUCACCGGCUGCGAGCCCAAGGAUCUGGCCGCCCGAUACGCGCCCGUGCCGCAGGCCAUGAGCAGCGGCGACCGGUUCUUCUUCACCACGUGCAAGAGCAAGAACGGGAGCAAGCUCCAGAGCGUGCGCAGCGCCGGCGGCGGCACCUGGAGCAUCCAGAAAACCUCGGAGAUUAGCCACGCGGGAGUCAAGGUCGGCGAGGUCAAGAACCUGUCCUUCAAGAAGAAGGGCAAGUCGACAGGCUGGGUCAUGGAGGAAUACCGGUGCCUGCUGCCGGAGGCCACCGUCUCC
This 432-nucleotide ribosomal RNA is filed under the name Triticum aestivum (bread wheat). Its description in RNAcentral is "partial small subunit ribosomal RNA". Lineage: Eukaryota; Viridiplantae; Streptophyta; Magnoliopsida; Poales; Poaceae. The record is from RNAcentral.